UACGUAGGGGGCAAGCGUUGUUCGGAAUUACUGGGCGUAAAGGGCUCGUAGGUGGCCAACUAAGUCAGACGUGAAAUCCCCAGGCUCAACUUGGGAACUGCGUCUGAUACUGGAUGGCUUGAAUUCGGGAGAGGGAUGCAGAAUUCCAGGUGUAGCGGUGAAAUGCGUAGAUAUCUGGAGGAAUACCGGUGGCGAAGGCGGCAUCCUGGACCGAGAUUGACACUGAUGAGCGAAAGCUAGGGGAGCAAACGGG
This 253-nucleotide ribosomal RNA is filed under the name uncultured bacterium. Its description in RNAcentral is "partial 16S ribosomal RNA". It matches the Rfam family "Bacterial small subunit ribosomal RNA", at positions 524 to 776 of the family's 1533-position model. The record is from RNAcentral.